CCUACGGGAGGCUGCAGUGAGGAAUAUUGGUCAAUGGACGAGAGUCUGAACCAGCCAAGUAGCGUGAAGGAUGACUGCCCUAUGGGUUGUAAACUUCUUUUAUAAAGGAAUAAAACGAGGCACGUGUGCCUUUUUGCAUGUACUUUAUGAAUAAGGAUCGGCUACCUCCGUGCCAGCAGCCGCGGUAAUACGGAGGAUCCGAGCGUUAUCCGGAUUUAUUGGGUUUAAAGGGAGCGUAGAUGGGUUGUUAAGUCAGUUGUUAAAGUUUGCGGCUCAACCGUAAAAUUGCAAUUGAUACUGGCAGUCUUGAGUACAGUUGAGGUAGGCGGAAUUCGUGGUGUAGCGGUGAAAUGCUUAGAUAUCACGAAGAACCCCGAUUGCGAAGGCAGCUUACUAAACUGUGACUGACAUUGAUGCUCGAAAGUGUGGGUAUCAAACAGGAUUAGAUACCCCUGUAGUC
RNAcentral lists this ribosomal RNA (460 nucleotides) under uncultured bacterium. Its description in RNAcentral is "partial 16S ribosomal RNA". It matches the Rfam family "Bacterial small subunit ribosomal RNA", at positions 338 to 795 of the family's 1533-position model. The record is from RNAcentral.